Long non-coding RNA from Piliocolobus tephrosceles (Ugandan red Colobus), 1754 nucleotides. RefSeq lists it as uncharacterized. The record is from RefSeq and is a predicted model, not a curated record. The transcript has 3 exons. NCBI's taxonomy places the organism in Eukaryota, Metazoa, Chordata, Mammalia, Primates, Cercopithecidae.
AAACAUACACACACUCCUGAUUCCAGAAACACAAAAGGAGCUGACUCAAAAGGGAGUGUCCGGUGCAGGCAUGCAGGGAGGAAGAAUGACUCUGAGCUUGACCACUCAACUUCAAAACUUUAACAAUCAAUGGAUCAACACACACUGGUGUACGGUCUGCUGUGCAUGCAGCCCUGUGCUAGGCAAAAGAAGUAUCAGAGCAGGAACUGACAGUCUUGCUGCAACAGGAAGACAGGCUUCACACAAUAAGCAUUUCAUUCAACCAGGCUAGACCCCUGCUUAUUGAGUUGAACAUCACCGAGCACAAAAUGCAAGCCAGAUACCAUAAGAGCUGUAAGGAUGAUAAAGACGCCUCUCCGCCCUCGAGAGCUCUAAGUGUGGUGGUCGGGAGAGAAACACACAGAAGGAUUAUGCUGGCUGGAGGGAAAUGCUGGAAUGAAGGUGGAAGCCUUCUAUUCAUCUAAAAGCUCCAGUAAUUAACAAUGCUAAUAAAUGUAUAAUUCCUUUGUAAACAUCUCUUCACAAGGUCAUAAAAGAAGGAAGACUGAAUGAAGGAUGCCAGGCUUUCAUUUUAGAAUUAAUUUUGUCAUUGAAUGCACUCACUGCAUUAUUUGAUAGAGUACUUUUGCAUUUGAAGUAGUACAUUUGCCUUCCACCAUCUCAUUAACAUUGCUUUCAAAAGAAUCAGAAAUAACACAAAUCACUGCAGGGUACUUUUGAAUGCUCAUUUGACUAUGCAGUGACAUCAAGUGGCGAGUUGAGGAAUGACCAUAUGCUGUGUGAGAACUCCAUGUUAAAAAUUCCGUGGAGCCAGGCUGGACACCACAUCUGGCACUUUCAUCUGUUUAGAUUUCAGAGAAUUAAAAGGAAAUGGUCACCGACCUGCCUUUGAUAGUACCCUUUAAAGAGAUACCCCUUCCCACCAUAAGAAACCAGCAUUCCUUAGAGAAAUGGCUAAUUCCAGCUCUGGGGCAAGAAAUGCUAAGAUGUGCUCAAAACAUCUCAUUAUACCAGAAAGCCAGGGAGCCAUCAAAGACUACUAGAGUUGUGUCAAAAGGACCAAGAAACCAAAUUGAAGAGGCUCCCACUGGCCAACAGUGGGGCAAUCAGAGCAUCAAUAAGAAUAAUAACUGCAACAAACUGAAACAUAUCAAAUAUGUUUAAAUUCAUACGUUUAUAAUUACACUCAAAAAACAAAGAUGCAGACCACCUCACCUUGAGAAUGUUACAGAAUGAAACUAUCAUUCUGAAAACUGGUAAAUAAAGAGAAGUUAUCAAGCAAGCAUGUAUCUGGCUUUUUCUAUACGAAAUAAAGGAAGCCAAAUAGUAAACAAGGGGAAGUUCCUCUUUACCGAAAUAUUUCAGGUAAUAAAAGAAGAAAGAAAAACAGAGAACAUGAUCGUUGUAUGGCCUCUAAUGGAACAAGACAUCUAGGCAAUGAUGAACUAUGGUCACCAACAUGACUCAAUCAGGGACAAUCAGACACUGUGGGCACCUGAAGGAAGUAAACACCACCACCUAGGAAAUAUUCUCACCAAAACUUCAAAAACUUGAAUCUGAUCCGGCCUUUAGUUUCAACUACUAAUUUACAGGCAAUACAGGGCUCGAGGGAUGUGGUAAAAUGUCAUGGAAAUACAAUCAGCAAAAUCCAGUACAGAUAAUAAUAGGACAAAUGAUCCACAGAUGGAAAGGAAGAAUGUAAAGGUGUGUUGGUAAAGAAAUUCACAGAUUAAUAAAAGCUUAAAAAUGUACCA